This 374-nucleotide long non-coding RNA is filed under the name Homo sapiens (human). RNAcentral describes it as "ENSG00000228546.2 circular RNA". The record is from RNAcentral. Lineage: Eukaryota; Metazoa; Chordata; Mammalia; Primates; Hominidae.
AUCUAAAGCUUAAGGACUAUGGAGUGGAUCUCAUUGAAGUUUCAGACAAUGGAUGUGGGGUAGAAGAAGAAAACUUUGAAGGCUUAACUCUGAAACAUCACACAUGUAAGAUUCAAGAGUUUGCCGACCUAACUGAGGUUGAAACUUUCGGCUUUCAGGGGGAAGCUCUGAGCUCACUGUGUGCACUGAGCGAUGUCACCAUUUCUACCUGCCACGCAUCGGCGAAGGUUGGGACUCGACUGGUGUUUGAUCACUAUGGGAAAAUCAUCCAGAAAACCCCCUACCCCCACCCCAGAGGGAUGACAGUCAGCGUGAAGCAGUUAUUUUCUACACUACCUGUGCGCCAUAAGGAAUUUCAAAGGAAUAUUAAGAAG